ACUCCUACGGGAGGCAGCAGUGGGGAAUAUUGCACAAUGGGCGCAAGCCUGAUGCAGCAACGCCGUGUGAGUGAAGAAGGUUUUCGGAUCGUAAAACUCUGUCCUAAGGGAAGAAACAAAUGACGGUACCUUAGGAGGAAGCCCCGGCUAACUACGUGCCAGCAGCCGCGGUAAUACGUAGGGGGCAAGCGUUAUCCGGAAUCACUGGGCGUAAAGGGUGCGUAGGCGGCUUAGCAAGCCAGGGGUGAAAGGCAUUGGCUCAACCAAUGUAAGCCUUUGGAACUGUUAAGCUUGAGUGCAGGAGAGGUAAGUGGAAUUCCUAGUGUAGAGGUGAAAUUCGUAGAUAUUAGGAGGAACACCAGUGGCGAAGGCGACUUACUGGACUGUAACUGACGCUGAUGCACGAAAGCGUGGGUAGCGAACAGGAUUAGAUACCCUGGGGGCACAGAG
RNAcentral lists this ribosomal RNA (450 nucleotides) under uncultured bacterium. RNAcentral's name for it is "bacterial SSU rRNA". It matches the Rfam family "Bacterial small subunit ribosomal RNA", at positions 335 to 799 of the family's 1533-position model. The record is from RNAcentral.